CAAUAGCGUAUAUUAAAGUUGUUGCAGUUAGAACGCUCGUAGUCGGAUUUCGGGGCGGGCCGACCGGUCUGCCGAUGGGUAUGCACUGGUCGGCGCGUCCUUCCUUCCGGAGACCGUCCCUACUCUUAACUGAGCGGGGGCGGGGGACGGGACUUUUACUUUGAAAAAAUCAGAGUGUUUCAAGCAGGCAGCUCGCUCUUGCAUGGAUUAGCAUGGGAUAAUGAAAUAGGACUUUGGUGCUAUUUUGUUGGUUUCGAACACCGAAGUAAUGAUGAGAAGGGACAGUCAGGGGCACUCGUAUUCCGCCGAGAGAGGUGAAAUUCUCAGACCAGCGGAAGACGAACCACUGCGAAAGCAUUUGCCAGGGAUGUUUNCACUGA
RNAcentral lists this ribosomal RNA (380 nucleotides) under uncultured eukaryote. RNAcentral's name for it is "partial 18S ribosomal RNA". It matches the Rfam family "Eukaryotic small subunit ribosomal RNA", at positions 592 to 976 of the family's 1831-position model. The record is from RNAcentral.